RNAcentral lists this unclassified non-coding RNA (6958 nucleotides) under Hevea brasiliensis (rubber tree). The record is from RNAcentral. Lineage: Eukaryota; Viridiplantae; Streptophyta; Magnoliopsida; Malpighiales; Euphorbiaceae.
GACGGAUGAUAUCAAGGAUCUCAAGCCAUUGAAUGAUAGAGUAUUUAUAAAGGUAGCCGAGGCUGAAGAGAAGACUUCUGGAGGCUUGUUGCUGACAGAGGCAACCAAAGAGAAACCUUCUAUUGGCACUGUGGUAGCAGUUGGGCCUGGAACUGUUGAUGAGGAAGGCAACAGGAAACCCCUAUCCGUCUCCCCGGGAAACACAGUCUUGUACUCAAAGUAUGCAGGGAAUGACUUUAAGGGAAGUGAUGGUACCAACUACAUUGCACUAAGGGCUUCCGAUGUGAUAGCAGUGCUCUCUUAAUUGUCUUGUGUGUUUUACAUGAAUCACUGAAUUUUGUGGAGCCGCCUCAAGGAUGUGGAAAUGUAGUAUUUGAACAUAGAUUGAUUGCUGCUUCACUGUUCCAAGUUGAUUUAUAGCGCAAGUUUCUUUUAUGGAAUUUCUGGCACUUGUUUAAGUUUAUUCAUUUUGGAGUGAAGCUGUGUUUGGAAAUAUAUCAGGUGCACUGGAACUAUCGGUAAUAACUUGAACAAGUCCAACCUCGGCCUUGGUACUGUUAGGAUUGUUUCCUCUUUUUAUGGGCAAAGCAUAAUGAAAAGGGAGAAUGGGAAUUUAACUUUUUUUUUUUUUAUGUAUUUUAUUCUUUCCCAUUUUAUCAACCCAUUAGUGAUAUUGAUGGAUUGAAAUUUUUUUUUCCCCAUUGCAUUGCUGAGAAAGUUCAUGGGCCAAAGCUCAGAGACAACAAAGGCUCAAAACGCAGCCUAAUUAAUAGGCCUCUAAAAACACAUGAAUCCAAGCCUACAACAUUAUAACUCUAGAACAGCUGAGCGCCAGGGAGCAAGAUGCAAAGCCUCUGGCCAUCAUGCAGGAUGCAGCCACGUCUAAGCCGUUCCUUGCCCUUUCCAGUGCCGUGUGCCACAGCACCGGUAAUCAUCAGAAGCACAAGAAAAUAGGCCAACAACAGCCAUGCAUGGCACAGAAAGGAGAAGGUACUUCACCAAAGCAACAGAACCCGUCAGAAACCCACGCCUUCCGCCGGGUUCAAACAGUCAGUGGCUCUGUAGGAGAGGAAAAGAGAGUCUAGCUUCUCAGUCUCAUCUCAAGUAGCCGUUGAUGAGGGGUCGACCGUCACCAUUUGCGGAUAUCAAGUCUCCUAGAAGCAAAACUAGAGAAAAAGAGAAUGUGCCUACUAUUUGUUUAGGAUGAUCAGGUAUUCUGAAUGUUUUAACUUAAUUUUCGAUGUGAAUAAUUAAGUUCCAAAUAAUCCAAAUUUUUGCUUAUUUUAUUUAAGAGAAACUGAACUACAUAACAGAUCAACUAAUCCAAUUCCCACGUCAGUCCAUUUUGGAUAAUAAACAGUAGCUAUAGGGUCUUCGACUGACAGAUCAGUUGGGCCAUUGUACGCUUCGUUUUUGAAGCUCAUUGCUACUACCGUAAAUUCACGAGUAUCAACUUUAUGCCCAGUAGUUUAGAUAACAAUAAACCAUAUCAUUAUCAUUAAUUACCGUUAAGCAGUUGAAAAUAUUGUCAACAAAAUGAACAGAAUCAGUGAUCGAGAAAUUGCUCUCCAUCAUUUACAAGGAAUCGUUUGUCAGACUGAACUUCAAAUUACGUAAAGAUCAUAUCAUACAUCUAAUCCUUUUGUUCUGCUUUCCACUGUACUUCAAAAUCCUACUUCCUCCCGUACGUCGCCAAACUGCUUCCAUCUAUCAUUGGAAAGCCAAAAGUUGCAAGAAAAGUAGAUGCCAACAUUUAGUGAAAAUGGUAAUAUCAUAGCUGCGCCCUUUGCAUGUAGAACAUAAGAGCCACUACUUCAGAAGCUGCUCAACCUCCAUGUAACAAUGUUUCCCUUUGUUACUGGAGUACCUUAAGUACGACCAAUUUCCCCUUAAGAGUUGAUAGGUGCCAUGACAGUCGCAACUGCCAUUGCUAAAGGGCCAAGAUAACUGUACCGUGAAGUCCAUUAACUGCUCCUAUUAUCAUUAUACAGCUCUUAUCUAUUAAAUGAGGCAGCUGAAUUAUCAUCAUAAUGCCCUCUCCAUGCAUUUCCACUGUUAGUCCCACUGCAGGCUUGCUUGGGAACCGGUAAACUACCAAGAUCUCCAUCUAAACUCAUUUGCUGCACUUCAGCAGAUGACAAUAUCUUUAUGCUCUGAACACAGCUUACAAACUCCUCCCAAGGGUCAUCGCCGACAAGUAGUAUGUCAUUCUCAUGAUCCACAUAAACUAAUUUCCAGUCAGAACUUUGUGGAUCUUCUAGUUGCCCUUCAAUACCAAACAUGCGGGCCAGGUCAUGUCUAAGUUCGUCAUAGCCUUUAUAACGGGUCACAUCAAUAGAUCUUCCUACAGAUCCACGCUUUUGAACCUUCACAAUUUUGAACCAGCGUCAGGCAUUAAAAAUUUCAUAAAGAAAAAUAUGAACCAACUAAUUCUGUACUUAGAAAAACAAAUUGUUGAAGAGAUCCUGGCAUAGCUAAAGUGCCAAAAGCUGGUGUUGUAGCAAUAAUUAGACAACUCGGAUUAAAGCUGUCUUCACCACGUAAAGAUGAAUUGUUAAUUGAUUGAUAGAACAAAAAACAUCUAGCACUUCUCUCUUCUAUAUUUGAAUGAACACUGCACCAUCUAAAAAUAAUAAGAAAAAUUAAAAAAAUAAAGGAAAAGAAAAUUCUGUUGGGAUAGCAAGAGUGUGCGUGUCAAAGUCCCACAAUGGAGAAAAGAUAUACUAAGUGAGAGAUACAAGAGGCAAGGACCUAUGGACCUAAUUUCUUAAAGUUUGGUUAAAAUAUGGUGUCCAACUCAUGAGUAUGGAUCUCUUACAAGGCCUUGCAAGAAGUCUCCCAGCAUUUUGGGCUCUCCUGCUCCUAACAAAUUCACUCCUUGUUGGGCAUGUGAGACUGUUCUUUUAUUACUUCCACCUAGCUUCUCGACCAGUUAAUAUUUUUUCGAGAGGGGGAGAAAGAGACAUGACAAACCUUUGUAUAUGUUCGCAUGCGUUGAGUCUGGUUGGCCCACAAUCCACCAUUCAAAACCCCAGAAUCAUUGAUUGGAACAUCAUUAGAACAUCCAGGCUUGAACGGUAUGUUUGGCACCCCAAAAGAUUGAGAGCUUAUUGCAGCAGUGGACAACUCUGUCUCAACAUCUCUUGGAGUCCCACCAUAAUUAGUUAGCAAGUUUUGAAGAUCUUUUUGGGAGUCAUAUCCCCUUGACAACAAAGUGUCAGGUGCCAAGCUAUCAAUAUUAGUUGCAAAAGGUAGACUGUUCCUAGGAUGUGAUUGGACAUCACCAUCCAAACCAAAGGUAGGGAGCGAGAAAUUUUGUUGGCUGUUACCAGCGUCCAGGCAAUAUGAUGUUCCAGAAGAAGAAAUUUCCAAUUGAUCAGUCAUUGCACCUUUGUAUUUUAGUUGGUCUAAUCCUUUUGAACUGGGAAACUCAUGUUUAACUUGAAUAUCAGACUUGCUAUUAAGCUCCUGAACUAGAUUAGUUGCAGGCUCAAUCACCGGGUCCCCCAGUAAUACAGCUGGUGAUUCUUGGUUUCUGUUUAGAAAAUUUGAUGGGGAAAUUUGGCAGUUUUCAGUGGAGGGUGAGGUUGAACAAGAUGGAGCAUCUCCAUCUGUAAGAGUGGAAUGGGCUCUAAUUGUUGUAGGUGACUUCUGUAGCACACGGGAAUGAUACACGGGAAAGGAUUGAGAUUGCAUGAGUGCAGCUGUUGAGAAGCUAUUGCUACUGAGUGGCUGACUCUGUGAAAGAGGCGACUGCUGGAAGUGCUGGUUUUGUUGAUGGUUCUGCUGUUGUUGCAAUAGCUGAGGCUGCAAAGGUGAGCUCGUAGGGGAAAGCAAUUGCUGCUGCUGUUGUUGCUGCAAUUUCUGCAGCAAUUGCAAUUGAAGCUGCUGCUCAGAGAGGCUGGGUUGUGAUAGUUGUUGCCCUUGUGGCUGUGGCGGUGGUUGUGGUUGUGUUCUCUGUGACAGGUUUUGUUGCAACAGCUGCAGUGGGGACUGUUGCAAUUGUGUCUGCUGCUGGUGCCUCUGCAGGAGGCUAGAUUGUUGCUCCAUUUGUUGCUGGAAUGGAGUAUCCUGUGGCAAAGAGGUCAGCUGAUACGAACUCUUAUUAGCAGGGGGGAUAUUUUGGGAUUGGGUAUUGCUUGCUAGUAGCUGCUGCUGCUGUUGAACCUGAGAGUAUACCAUCUGUUGCUGCAAAUUUUGAUUUGAAAUUUGGCUAGGGGUAACACUACCAUUAUUUACAAGAGGUUGGAAUAUGUGCUGCUGCUGCUGCUGUUGUAAUUGUGGAGGCUGUUGUCGUAUUUGUCGAGGCUGUGGCUGCGGCUGUGGUUGUGGCUGCGGCUGCUGCUGCUGGCUCAAUUGCUGUUGCUGUGGUGGUUGUGGUUGCUGCCUCUGCUGUUGUUGUUGGGGAUGAGGCUGCUGCUGCAGCUGUUGAGGCUGAGCUGGCUGCUGUUGGCUGAUAUUGGCCUGCAAUAAUUGCUGCAGUUGCUGCUGUUGGGUCCAUGUGGUAGAUGGCUGUGGCAGCUGGCCAACUUGGUUUUGUGGAUUUGCUUUGUUGAACUGGAUACUUGGUACAGACAGGCCAGGGGCUUGAAAAUUCAGUAACUUUGAGGGAUCAUCGGUGCUAACGUUAUUAUGCAAGGCAUUAGAAGGAAGCAUGGAUGGGAAGUAUCCUGCUUGAGUAGCUGGAAAUUGAUUAUUUUGUUGCAUGCUCAUCCACUGAACUAAACUCAAACCAGGGAAAAUCGAGCUUGGGGUAUCUUUCAUUCCAAAGUCAUCUCCAAGCCAAGGCAUGGCUCUUUUAAAAGCAUUCUCAGUGUCAGACUCAUCAUCUGGCAUCCCUGGCGGUUUAGGGAACUUGGGUCUGAAAAAUGGUGGGGGGCAAAUGUAGAAAGGAGUUACUACAGGCUCAAUCUCCCAAAUUCCAACUCGGCUUGGCCGUUCACCAGCAGUUGAUUCAUCCCAUCCAACCUAUAAAAAUAGUGACAGGCUUCGACUAAAUCAUAAGUCAAUGACAAUGGUAUUUGACUUGAAUAAACAUCAAGUGAGAACUAUCUUGAAGCCAAAAGCAAGAUGUCCACACACAAGUUAAGGAAAAUCAAGUUAACAACCAAAAUGAGCAGAAAUUUGAAAUCUAGAUAUGCACAUGCCUUUAAGACCGUACAAUAGAAAAAUACAAUUAAUGAGCUCAUGAUGCUUGCAAGAUGGUUAAUGCAACUAUGACCCUAGGUUAUAUGCGAAUUGAUUAAAAUCAAGAACCUCAAAGACACAACAUGCCAACAUAUAAUUUGUAUGUGGAUAGAUGCUCUCAUCUUUUUAUGCAUAAAUACACAUCAGCAACUGAGUUAAAAUAUCUGAUAAUCAUGCUAGACUUACAAGCAGCUAAUAAUACCUGAAGAUUGCGCCACUGUGAUUUUUUCCAUCGCAAUGGAUCCAAAUCACUGAUGCCAGUGAUUGUGCCCAUGUAUCUACGAACUCCUGAAUCCUCGGUCUCAAACAUCAUUCUGAAUCUCAUGCCCAGUGAAACUUGUGUAUACAUUGCUUUAUUAUACUUGGCGAAAGGAAUCACAAACUCAGAAGGGCUUGCCCUUGGAUUGUAAAAUACAGUAAACGGGCUGUUAUUAGCGGCAGCAUGAGCUGCAGCAGCAAGAAUUCCAAUAUGCAUGCUGUCACUGGAUAUGACUGACGAAGAAAGUGCUGGCUGUUGUUUAUUAGCAUGCCUUAUACCCAAGAGAAGCUGUGACUUUUCAUCUCUUAUGAAUAGAACAGAAUCACCAGCAAAUAGUCUUUUUGUGCUCACAAAGACACUCCAACCUGUAGUCAGUAGAUGUCUUUUCGGCUGACCGCGAUAAAUAUGUCUAAAUGUCCAUGUAUUGUCAUGUAGAUCUUUGGCUACCAACUCCAGUGCAGGUGGUUGCAUUGAAUAGUCCAGUGGUGGGAAAAUCUUCUCAGCUGCUCGUCGAGGAACAGAGAAUCCACCAUGUGUGCUUGUGUCACUAGCUGUAAGAGUUUUGCAGAAGAAUUCAGUAGGUUGCCUGCUUUGCUUGAGGCCCAUUUCAGAAGCCAGUAAUGCUUCCUUGUCAUAUUUGUUUACGGGUUGAAGGGUCAUCUGAGCAUAGACCUCAUCAGUUUCUACAUCAGCAUGCAAUGUGACAUUAUGAAGCAUGCAAAUCAACUUGGAAGGAAGGUUGGGAUAGUUCGGUAUGAAAUCAGUCUCCUUUUGCAUUGAUGCUGCAACUUGCUCACUGUGGCCUUGAGGGAAGUAAACUACAAGACUUCCAACUGGAGGCAGAGAGACCAAUGGCCCCGCACAAGCAUGCCAUAGCUCCGAAUUAAUAUUCUUCCUUUCUCCUUCUGCAGAAUUAGCCAUAAACCCAUUUGGAGGAACCUUCAUUUUUGCAGAGUAUGAAUAGUAUAAACUGCUCCUUCAGCAAAUCCAAUCACUUGUUCUCUUCCACACAGAUAUUAACCAUAUACCUCUACACCAAACGUCAAUUUUUUUCCAACAUAAACCUGCUUUAGCUCCAAAACCAUUGCCAAUAAUUGCAGGAUCAUUUCACUUAAAGGAAUCAGCUUAACUGCUUAAAAGAGAAUUUUUUUUAAAAAAAUCCCAUACAAUCCAAGAAAUCAAACCUCAAAUAACCAACCAACUGGCACUUAAAUUACCCACGAAACUAAAAAAAUUUCCUUUCUCAGCUAUUUCCUCUUCUACCACAUCUCAAUAAAGAUCAAACUCAAAGAACCCAAAAAUAAAAAAAAGGAAAGAAUCAGAAUGUUUGGUGAAAGGGAAUCCAAAUUUCCACUUUAUAAUUCAUCUAAACAAAAAAGGGUAAAUUUCCCAUUUCAUUUAGGAUCAAUAAGGACCAGACGGAAAACUGACUUAUCAGCGAGAAAUCAGAGACCGAAACAGAAGCAAACGCAAAAGCAAAGAUACCUUUUUUAUUUAUGUGAACAAGCCGAC